GGGUGGAUUAGUGGCGAACGGGUGAGUAACACGUGAGCAACCUGCCCCGAUCUCUGGGAUAAGCGCUGGAAACGGCGUCUAAUACCGGAUAUGCACCAGAACGGCAUCGUUACUGGUGGGAAAGAUUUUUCGGUUCGGGAGGGGCUCGCGUCCUAUCAGCUUGUUGGUGAGGUAAUGGCUCACCAAGGCGUCGACGGGUAGCCGGCCUGAGAGGGUGACCGGCCACACUGGGACUGAGACACGGCCCAGACUCCUACGGGAGGCAGCAGUGGGGAAUAUUGCACAAUGGGCGCAAGCCUGAUGCAGCAACGCCGCGUGAGGGAUGACGGCCUUCGGGUUGUAAACCUCUUUUAGUAGGGAAGAAGCCUUCGGGUGACGGUACCUGCAGAAAAAGCACCGGCUAACUACGUGCCAGCAGCCGCGGUAAUACGUAGGGUGCAAGCGUUAUCCGGAAUUAUUGGGCGUAAAGAGCUCGUAGGCGGUUUGUCGCGUCUGCUGUGAAAACUGGAGGCUCAACCUCCAGCUUGCAGUGGGUACGGGCAGACUAGAGUGCGGUAGGGGAGAUUGGAAUUCCUGGUGUAGCGGUGGAAUGCGCAGAUAU
This 601-nucleotide ribosomal RNA is filed under the name Microbacterium amylolyticum. RNAcentral describes it as "bacterial SSU rRNA". It matches the Rfam family "Bacterial small subunit ribosomal RNA", at positions 85 to 697 of the family's 1533-position model. Lineage: Bacteria; Bacillati; Actinomycetota; Actinomycetes; Micrococcales; Microbacteriaceae. The record is from RNAcentral.